This is a non-coding RNA of Chelonoidis abingdonii (Abingdon island giant tortoise), 131 nucleotides long. NCBI's taxonomy places the organism in Eukaryota, Metazoa, Chordata, Testudines, Testudinidae. The record is from RefSeq and is a predicted model, not a curated record.
ACCCUUAGAUAAAUAAAUUACUAUGAUUUGGAUGUGUAUAUGUUCAUAUUUAUAUGUUUUUCCUAAAGUUAACUCAGUAUUUUAGGAGAAAUUGUCAUAGUGGCCACCAGCAAGAACUGUGUUAUGAGAAC